CCGUGAUUUAUUACUUGCCCUGCUGCUUCUGACAAACUAUUUGUAGGAAAAUGAGAUUUGGUCCGCGCUGGAUGGCUCCUCUGGGAGGCAGGCGUGGGGGUCGGGUGUCGGAGGCCCCGUGCGCCCCCCCACCCCCCACCAGAGCCCACGGCGCUCACGGAGCUCUUUAAGAUAAAUGAGCAAAAUUAAGAGACUCACUGGGGGAAGAAAACACUGGAUGGGAGCGAGCGAGAGCGGAUGGUACUUGGUUUCCUCCCAGAAAUGCAUCCACGUGCGCCCCACUGGGGCCUCCCCCAUCUGCUGCAGACUCCAGGGAACUUCCUCCCCUCAAAGACGAACUUCCAGCCCUGGAGCAUGUUUCUUCCUUUCCUGGGAUGUGGCGCUGAAAAGGGCAGAAACCUCUAGUAAGGCACAAGCAACAGAUUGGGGGUGGAGCAGCAGGUCUCUUUGGAGGUGGCCUGGAAGAAACCGGACAGAGAGGAUGGGAAGGGGAGAAACAGAAGAGUGUGACGAGAUCAUGAAGGAAAGAGGAGGCGUCUACUGAAUGUAAGGUAGAGCCAAAGGCAUCUAUUGAUGACUGAAGAAGAGGCAUGAAUAUGACAAAAACAGGAAGACCACUAGAGAUUAGAAAAUUGUUCUCUGGGGUAUCUGACCACUUCCAGAGGAAAGACAUAAAGAUGCUGAUGUCAAGAAUGACCCAACUAAACGGCCCAGCCAGAUGACCCAGUUGAAGCUGGUGGACAAGAAGUUUCAUUCAUGGAAUCAGAACUUCCAAUAAGCUGGGAAAACGGCAAUGGAUUAAUAACAAGAAAUUAAUGGUGAAGUGGUGACGAAAAUUCUACAUUGCUUAGAAAGCAAAUAGUGAAAUGAACAUUUACAUUCUGGCAACCUCAGAAGUACAACGAACAGAGGACACCAGCCAGGUAGGGCAAAGGCCUGUGCGCCCCCUUUUGCUGUUACAUGUUUAUCAGAUGCGUGCUCUGUUUCUGUUGUAUUACAUUACUUUUCUCUUCAAUGUCUACUGAGGAAGAACAAGUAGCUCCUCAGGCAAGUCAACUGUUAACUCUGCAGUUUUUAUUUAAUCUCCCAGGAAUGUAACCCUUAACUUUAAAGAAUGUAGUGACCAUAAAACUUAUAAGGCAUGUUUCUUAAGGAAAUUGUACCUGUUUAUUUAAUCUAUCAGAUAUGAAUGUUAUAGAAAAUUAAAUUUGUCCACUUAAGCUGUAGAUGAACUUUUCACCUUUCUGAUCAGAAAUUCACCAUUUUAUAGUAUAGGUUCUGUUAUUAAUCAGAAUAUUUCAUUUAGACUCUUUCUAUCCAACUUUUUCUUAGAGGCUAUUCAAAAUAAAGGUGCUUCUAACAGUUUCAUAUCGAAAUACGAUGCAAAGCCUUGCUCUUCCAUGGUAUCCUUUGAGUGAGCCAAACUUAUUUAGCCAUUCCCCUAUAGUUAAAUAGCUAGGAUGUUUCCAACAUCUCACCUUUAAAACAAUAGUGCUAUGAAUGUCAUAAAUGUUUGUAUAUGUAAAUAUGUAGGAUAAAUCCCUAUCAGUAGAAUUUCAAAAGGUAUACGCAAUCAGUAUUUUCAUACAUAUUUAAAAUUUUCCAUCCAUACAAAGGUUGCUAACAUAUUUAUUUAAAAUUUUAAAAAUAAUUUUAUAUGCCUCUUGUAACCAGUAAUAGGAUGCAAAGUUUUUGUUUUAAGGUAACAUUGCUCCUCUUCCCCCAUUGUCUCUGUCAUCUAUAGUACUCCCUAAGGUAGUUCAUGUUAUUGCAAGGGUGUGUAUCAUCCCAAACAUAUUGCUUCCACAUACAUAUAUCAGCAUACAUAUAUAUAUAUGUAUAGCAUAUAUAUAUAUGAGCACAUAUUAAUAUAUGCCCAUGCACAUACAAGCAUGUUUUUGUUAAUUUUUACUGAAAUGGAAUCAUGCUACAUACUUAUGAACAAAUUGCUUCUUUCACCUUAUAUCACUUAUAAUUGUUAUUCUACAAAUCAGUACAUAUAAAAAAUACAUAUUUACAUAUGUAAUACUCUAUCUGUUAUAAUUUUCUGCAUGCACAUGUAUGCAUAUACAUAUAUUCAUAAACAUAAAAAUCUAAACGGGAUUUUUUUG
Molecule: long non-coding RNA, 2111 nt
Filed under: Homo sapiens (human)
Lineage: Eukaryota; Metazoa; Chordata; Mammalia; Primates; Hominidae
Description: HSALNT0305203
Source: RNAcentral